Molecule: unclassified non-coding RNA, 315 nt
Filed under: plant metagenome
Description: partial contains 5.8S ribosomal RNA, internal transcribed spacer 2, and large subunit ribosomal RNA
Rfam family: 5.8S ribosomal RNA (bases 1-105)
Source: RNAcentral
GAACUGCGAUAAGUAAUGUGAAUUGCAGAAUUCAGUGAAUCAUCGAGUCUUUGAACGCACAUUGCGCCCCCUGGCAUUCCGGGGGGCAUGCCUGUCCGAGCGUCAUUGCUGCCCUUCAAGCCCGGCUUGUGUGUUGGGUCGUCGUCCCCUCCGGGGGACGGGCCCGAAAGGCAGCGGCGGCACCGCGUCCGGUCCUCGAGCGUAUGGGGCUUUGUCACCCGCUCGAUAAGGACCGGCCGGGCGCCAGCCGGCGUCUCCAACCUUUUUUUCUCAGGUUGACCUCGGAUCAGGUAGGGAUACCCGCUAAACUUAAGC